CCCUUAGAUGUCCUGGGCCGCACGCGCGUUACACUGAUGCAUUCAACGAGCUUAUAACCUUGGCCGAGAGGCCUGGGCAAUCUUGUUAACGUGCAUCGUGAUAGGGAUAGAUUAUUGAAAUUAUUAAUCUUGAACGAGGAAUUCCUAGUAAACGCAGAUCAUCAAUCUGCACUGAUUACGUCCCUGCCCUUUGUACACACCGCCCGUCGCACCUACCGAUUGGAUGGUCCGGUGAAGCCUCGGGAUUGUGGUUCUUGCCGCUUUAUUGUAGCGUGACCGCGAGAACUUGUCUAAACCUUAUCAUCUAGAGGAAGGUGAAGUCGUAACA
RNAcentral lists this ribosomal RNA (328 nucleotides) under uncultured eukaryote. RNAcentral describes it as "partial 18S ribosomal RNA". It matches the Rfam family "Eukaryotic small subunit ribosomal RNA", at positions 1470 to 1796 of the family's 1831-position model. The record is from RNAcentral.